This 460-nucleotide ribosomal RNA is filed under the name uncultured bacterium. RNAcentral's name for it is "partial 16S ribosomal RNA". It matches the Rfam family "Bacterial small subunit ribosomal RNA", at positions 338 to 795 of the family's 1533-position model. The record is from RNAcentral.
CCUACGGGGGGCAGCAGUGAGGAAUAUUGGUCAAUGGACGAGAGUCUGAACCAGCCAAGUAGCGUGAAGGAUGACUGCCCUAUGGGUUGUAAACUUCUUUUAUAUGGGAAUAAAAUGUUCCACGUGUGGGAUUUUGUAUGUACCAUAUGAAUAAGGAUCGGCUAACUCCGGGCCAGCAGCCGCGGUAAUACGGAGGAUUCGAGCGUUAUCCGGAUUUAUUGGGUUUAAAGGGAGCGUAGGUGGAUUGUUAAGUCAGUUGUGAAAGUUUGCGGCUCAACCGUAAAAUUGCAGUUGAAACUGGCAGUCUUGAGUACAGUAGAGGUGGGCGGAAUUCGUGGUGUAGCGGUGAAAUGCUUAGAUAUCACGAAGAACUCCGAUUGCGAAGGCAGUUCACUGGACUGCAACUGACACUGAGGCUCGAAAGUGUGGGUAUCAAACAGGAUUAGAUACCCUAGUAGUC